AUGGAAGCAUCCGACAAGGAUACAAUAGCUGGGACAUUUGUGCCACCUGAUUAUGAUCUUGCUAUGGCUUCAGCACAAGAGGAGAGCCCAUCUAUUGCAAUGGUUGUCGAGAUGAUGGUUGCACCAUUAAAUGUUGAUCUUGUCGUGGAAUCAUAUAAAGCAACGGCUUUGAAUGCAGAUGAUGAGUAUGUGUUUCCACUAGAAGCACUUCUAGGGUUGCAUGUUCCUAUGGACUUAGACGACGCAUGCAUCGGUGAUGGAGCUAUGAGAUGGCUGAGUGAUGAGGAGGGCGGCGUCCAUGACCAUAACUAUGUUUGGAAGAUUCAUAAUGUGAUGGACUGCUCGGCAACGGUAAAACAUCUUCAAUGUGAGUAUCGGGGGCCAACUGCCAUUAUCAUCAAAGACAUUGCAGACAAGAUGUAA
This 423-nucleotide ribosomal RNA is filed under the name Triticum aestivum (bread wheat). RNAcentral describes it as "partial small subunit ribosomal RNA". Lineage: Eukaryota; Viridiplantae; Streptophyta; Magnoliopsida; Poales; Poaceae. The record is from RNAcentral.